ACUGCUAUCGGGAUAGGACUAAGACAUGCUAGUCAAGCGCUUUCUAGCUAAUGUGAAAGCGCGGCAUACAGCUCAGUAACACGUGGCUAACCUGCCCUUGGGACGGAGACACCCCCCGGGAAACUGGGGUUAAUUUCCGAUAGGUGAAAGAUUCUGGAAUGAAUUUUCGCUUAAAAGGCGUUUAUGUCAUGCUCAUAGGCGUUGCCCAGGGAUGGGGCCGCGACCGAUCAGGUUGUUGGUGAGGUAAUGGCUCACCAAGCCUUUUACCGGUACGGGCCGUGAGAGCGGGAGCCCGGAGAUGGGCACUGAGACAAGGGCCCAGGCCCUACGGGGCGCAGCAGUCGCGAAAACUUUGCAAUACACGAAAGUGUGACAAGGCUAUCCCGAGUGCCAUCCGCUGAGGAAGGCUUUUACCCAGUAUAAAUAGCUGGGAGAAUAAGGAGAGGGCAAGUCUGGUGUCAGCCGCCGCGGUAAUACCAGCUCUCCGAGUAGUGUGGAUGUUUAUUGGGCCUAAAGCAUCCGUAGCUUGCUAAGCAAGUCCCCUGUUAAAUCCACCGAUUCAAUCGGUGGAUUGCGGGGGAUACUGUUUGGCUAGGGGACGGGAGAGGCCGACGGUAUUUCCGGGGUAGGGGUGAAAUCCUAUAAUCCCGGGAAGACCACCAGUGGCGAAGGCUGUCGGCUAGAACGCGCCCGACGGUGAGGGAUGAGAGCUGGGGGAGCGAACCGGAUUAGAUACCCGGGUAGUCCCAGCUGUAAACGAUGCAGGCUAGGUGUUUGGGCGGCCACGAGCCGCUCUAGUGCCGCAGGGAAGCUGUUAAGCCUGCCGCCUGGGGAGUACGGCCGCAAGGCUGAAACUUAAAGGAAUUGGCGGGGGAGCACCACAAGGGGUGAAG
RNAcentral lists this ribosomal RNA (893 nucleotides) under uncultured archaeon. RNAcentral describes it as "bacterial SSU rRNA". It matches the Rfam family "Archaeal small subunit ribosomal RNA", at positions 26 to 893 of the family's 1478-position model. The record is from RNAcentral.